Molecule: long non-coding RNA, 439 nt
Organism: Venturia canescens
Lineage: Eukaryota; Metazoa; Arthropoda; Insecta; Hymenoptera; Ichneumonidae
Exons: 2
Source: RefSeq, a predicted model, not a curated record
UAAAAAAACUCGAUCUGAACAAUGGAUUUCUCGCUCGUCAAUCAAACAGGCCUUUUGGAGUCCGUCUACCCCGUCAAAAAACUGGCCGAUCUUGAACUCGCCAAAGAUUACCGCAUCACAUGUAUUCGGUUCGUCGAAACGAGAUGGGGCAAACGAAUCGUCAUGGAUGUGGACAACUCGUUUACAUGCUUCCUACCGUUAAGAUUCGUGAAAGUUUUCGAAGAUAAGAACGUUUUAUUCCAGCAGAUGUGCGCUGCAGCCUCAAACAAUAAAUUAAUCAUGGUGUACCACGGCACGGAAUACAACAGACUGGAGUUCAAACCUGCUGAAGAAUGAUCACAAACAGAAUCGUCCGACCAUCUAAGCAGCACACCUCACAAGCCGCCGCUCCAUGGUCAUCGGUCCCGUCGUGAAAUCGGCCGAAAACCAAAAAAUAUCC